AACGAACGCUGGCGGCAGGCCUAACACAUGCAAGUCGAGCGAGCAUUUCGGUGCUAGCGGCGGACGGGUGAGUAACGCGUGGGAACGUGCCCUUUUCUGCGGAAUAGUCCUGGGAAACUGGGGGUAAUACCGCAUACGCCCUUUUGGGGAAAGAUUUAUCGGAGAAGGAUCGGCCCGCGUUGGAUUAGGUAGUUGGUGGGGUAAUGGCCCACCAAGCCGACGAUCCAUAGCUGGUUUGAGAGGAUGAUCAACCACACUGGGACUGAGACACGGCCCAGACUCCUACGGGAGGCAGCAGUGGGGAAUCUUAGACAAUGGGGGCAACCCUGAUCUAGCCAUGCCGCGUGAGUGAUGAAGGCCCUAGGGUUGUAAAGCUCUUUCAGCUGGGAAGAUAAUGACGGUACCAGCAGAAGAAGCCCCGGCUAACUCCGUG
This 433-nucleotide ribosomal RNA is filed under the name uncultured bacterium. RNAcentral's name for it is "partial 16S ribosomal RNA". It matches the Rfam family "Bacterial small subunit ribosomal RNA", at positions 29 to 507 of the family's 1533-position model. The record is from RNAcentral.